Piliocolobus tephrosceles (Ugandan red Colobus) is the source of this 8162-nucleotide RNA transcript. It is a transcript of the gene named cAMP responsive element binding protein 1, with no coding region annotated. NCBI's taxonomy places the organism in Eukaryota, Metazoa, Chordata, Mammalia, Primates, Cercopithecidae. The record is from RefSeq and is a predicted model, not a curated record. The transcript has 9 exons.
CCGUGCGCGGCCGCUGCGCACUCGGCACUGGGCGGCGCUGGCUGGCUCCCUGGCUGCGGCUCCUCAGUCGGCGGCGGCUGCUGCUGCCUGUGGCCCGGGCGGCUGGGAGAAGCGGAGUGUUGGUGAGUGACGCGGCGGAGGUGUAGUUUGACGCGGUGUGUUACGUGGGGGAGAGAAUAAAACUCCAGCGAGAUCCGGGCCGUGAACGAAAGCAGUGACGGAGGAGCUUGUACCACCGGUAACUAAAUGACCAUGGAAUCUGGAGCCGAGAACCAGCAGAGUGGAGAUGCAGCUGUAACAGAAGCUGAAAACCAACAAAUGACAGUUCAAGCCCAGCCACAGAUUGCCACAUUAGCCCAGGUAUCUAUGCCAGCAGCUCAUGCAACAUCAUCUGCUCCAACUGUAACUCUAGUACAGCUGCCCAAUGGGCAGACAGUUCAAGUCCAUGGAGUCAUUCAGGCGGCCCAGCCAUCAGUUAUUCAGUCUCCACAAGUCCAAACAGUUCAGAUUUCAACUAUUGCAGAAAGUGAAGAUUCACAGGAGUCAGUGGAUAGUGUAACUGAUUCCCAAAAGCGAAGGGAAAUUCUUUCAAGGAGGCCUUCUUACAGGAAAAUUUUGAAUGACUUAUCUUCUGAUGCACCAGGAGUGCCAAGGAUUGAAGAAGAGAAGUCUGAAGAGGAGACCUCAGCACCUGCCAUCACCACUGUAACGGUGCCAACUCCAAUUUACCAAACUAGCAGUGGACAGUAUAUUGCCAUUACCCAGGGAGGAGCAAUACAACUGGCUAACAAUGGUACCGAUGGGGUACAGGGCCUGCAAACAUUAACCAUGACCAAUGCAGCCGCCACUCAGCCGGGUACUACCAUUCUACAGUAUGCACAGACCACUGAUGGACAGCAGAUCUUAGUGCCCAGCAACCAAGUUGUUGUUCAAGGUACUCAAAAAUUGUAAAGCAGGAUGUCAGUGAAUUUGAAUUCUGAACGUCAGUUUGAAGAUGGUAACAUGUUUAGUAUAUAAAUCUUUUCCACUCAAAGCAUACAUUUUAAUUGAUAUUAAUAAUUAAUAUUAAUAAUUUAAUAAAGACCUUCAAAUUUUUUUAAGUAACAUUAGGUUCCUUAGGAGAGCAUAUUAUUACACUGUUUUUAGAAGCAGUUUGACAAAUAGUGAUUGUGUUUAUUUUUACAAAUGGUGAAUCAGAAAAAUAAAACUUUAGUUUAUUAAGUCAUUAUCAUUUACAUUAAAACAAUAUGUUUUCAAAUAAUAUAAUUGGCAUCAGGUGAUACACUUUUUCAUACUUUCAGUUUUGUUUUAAUUCAAAAUCUAUAAUAGUUGACCAUAAUGCUUUAUCUUCUUUUUCAUUUUGCUAUUUUAUGAAAAAUCAUGGUCGUUUUUAUGUCGUGGCAAGAGUCUACUUGAAAUUUUUUAAUAUGAAUUUACCAAUAUCAAAGGAAGACAUUGAGGACUAUACUCUAUCUAGGAAGAUCAUCCAAGCUGUGCCCCACUUACCUUUUAGACUUAAGCUGCCUCUGGAGAUGUACAAACAUACCAGAUUCGCACAGCACCCACUAGCACUAUUGCCCCUGGAGUUGUUAUGGCAUCCUCCCCAGCACUUCCUACACAGCCUGCUGAAGAAGCAGCACGAAAGAGAGAGGUUCGUCUAAUGAAGAACAGGGAAGCAGCUCGAGAGUGUCGUAGAAAGAAGAAAGAAUAUGUGAAAUGUUUAGAAAACAGAGUGGCAGUGCUUGAAAAUCAAAACAAGACAUUGAUUGAGGAGCUAAAAGCACUUAAGGACCUUUACUGCCACAAAUCAGAUUAAUUUGGGAUUUAAAUUUUCACCUGUUAAGGUGGAAAAUGGACUGGCUUGGCCACAACCUGAAAGACAAAAUAAACAUUUUAUUUUCUAAACAUUUCUUUUUUUCUAUGCGCAAAACUGCCUGAAAGCAACUACAGAAUUUCAUUCAUUUGUGCUUUUGCAUUAAACUGUGAAUGUUCCAACACCUGCCUCCACUUCUCCCCUCAAGAAAUUUUCAACGCCAGGAAUCAUGAAGAGACUUCUGCUUUUCAACCCCCACCCUCCUCAAGAAGUAAUAAUUUGUUUACUUGUAAAUUGAUGGGAGAAAUGAGGAAAAGAAAAUCUUUUUUUAAAAUGAUUUCAAGGUUUGUGCUGAGCUCCUUGAUUGCCUUAGGGACAGAAUUACCCCAGCCUCUUGAGCUGAAGUAAUGUGUGGGCCGCAUGCAUAAAGUAAGUAAGGUGCAAUGAAGAAGUGUUGAUUGCCAAAUUGACAUGUUUUCACAUUCUCAUUGUGAAUUAUGUAAAAUUGUUAAGAGACAUACCCUCUGAAAAGAACUUUAGUAUGGUAUUGAAGGAAUUAGAAAUGAAUUUGGAGUGCUUUCUAUGUAUGUUCUCUUCAAUACUGAAAAUUUGUCCUUGGUUCUUAAAAGCAUUCUGUACUAAUACAGCUCUUCCAUAGGGCAGUUGUUGCUUCUUAAUUCAGUUCUGUAUGUGUUCAACAUUUUUGAAUACAUUAAAAGAAGUAACCAACUGAAUGAAAAAGCAUGGUAUUUGAAUUUUAAAUCAAAGUAAAUAAAAGUACAAAGCAUAUUUUAGUUAGUACUAAAUUCUUAGUAAAAUGCUGAUCAGUAAACCAAUCCCUUGAGUUAUAUAACACGAUUUUUAAAUAAAUGUUAUUGUCCUCACCUUCAAAAAAUUUAUAUUGUCACUCAUUUACAUAAAAAGAUAUUUCUAAUUUACUGUUGCCCAUUGCACUUACAUGAUACCACCACCAAGAAAGCCUUCAAGAUGUCAAAUAAAGCAGUGAUAUAUAUUUGUUUAUGCAAUGUUACAUGUUGUAGAAAAAUACUGAUUUUAAAUCUUUUCCAUAUUAACAAUUUAACAGAGAAUCUCUACUGAAUUUUUUAAAUGAAAGAAGUUGUAAGGAUAUAAAAAGUACAGUGUUAGAUGUGCACAAGGAAAGUUAUUUUCAGACAUAUUUGAAUGACUGCUGUACUGCAAUAUUUGGAUUGUCAUUCUUACAAAACAUUUUUUUGUUCUCUUGUAAAAAGAGUAGUUAUUAGUUCUGCUUUAGCUUUCCAAUAUGCUGUAUAGCCUUUGUCAUUUUAUAAUUUUAAUUCCUGAUUAAAAGUCUGUAUUUGUGUAUAUCAUACAUUGUUUUCAAUACCACUUUUAAUUAUUACUCAUUUUAUUCACUAAGCUCGAUAAAUCUAACAGUUACUCUUUAAAAAAAAAAAAAAGACUAAGGUGGAUUUUAAAAAUUGGAAACUGACAUAAUAUUAGAUUAUAAUUUCUCAUUUGGGGCCGGGCGCAGUGGCUCACGCCUGUAAUCCCAGCACUUUGGGAGGCCGAGGUGGGUGGAUCACCUGAGGUUAGGAGUUCAAGACCAGCCCAGCCAACAUGGUGAAACCCCAUCUCUACUAAAAACAGAAAAAUUAGCCGGGCCUGAUGGCGGUCACCUGUAAUCCCAGCUACUCGGGAGGUUGAGGCAGCAGAGUCGCUUGAACCUGGGAGGCAGAGGUUGCAGUGAGCCGAGAUAGCACCAUUGCACUCCAGCCUGGGCGACAAGAGUGAGACUCUGUCUCAAAAAAUAAAAAUAAAAAAAUUUCUCAUUUGGGAAGGAAAUUCCUUUUAAAAAAGAGUUGAGACACUUAGAAAACUAAGGUUUUUUAUUUAGUCAAGAGUUAUUUAAGAAAGUCAAGCUUGUUUAACAACAAAAUAUGAAGAUUUAAGUGUUAAUUGCUGGAUCCAUUUUAAAAAGUAAGAUUUUAAUUACAUUUGUAAAUGGUAUAUUUUUGUUUGUAACAAACCAUUGUCUUUUUUCAAGGAUGAACAGAGUUUAUGAAGGAGCAUCAUUCUAAGAAUUGAGUGAUGUAGUCUUUAUGUUUGGACAGUUCACCAGAUUCUCAAGAAGGCUUUCAAACAACUAUAAAGUUUGAUGUUUGUCCUGCUGAGCUAAUGGGGAAAGUUAUAGCAUAAAAAUUGUGUAACAGCAUAGAUAUGUCAUUUUUAAAAACUGGUUUAACAGAAAUCAAGCAAAGUCACAAUAUGUUCACAAGUUGGAUUUAUUGAGUCAGAAUGUCGAAUUGAACAUUUUGAAUGUCAUAAGUGUUAUAAAUGAAAAAUUGCCUGAUGUUUAGCAGUUUGUAUUCUCUAAAGCUUUUUUUCAAAAGUUGAGGCUUUCUACUUAGUGGGAAGUUGGUGGCCCUCUUAGUCCCUGAUAAAUCAAGGCAAUCAUAUUCAUGUGAGCUGGAUGAAUUUAUAAGUUAUAAAGACCUUGUCCUUCAUACCUUGAGGAUGAUUGCACUGGUUUUGAAGUCAAUUACUUAAUGGUGAGGUGAGAAAUGUAUCCUGUUGCUAAAUCUGUUUUAGACCUUUGGUGAGACUUGAAGAUUUCGGUUUAUAAAGAUAAAAAUCAAGCAUCUUUUGUGCAGGUUUUUUCUUUUUUUAAUGCAAGAAUGGUGGGGAGGUUUGUUUGUAAGCAUGAAACUUUGAGAAUCUUUAUUAAGAAAAUGACAUAAUUUUUAAAAACCUUGUAGCCAAGAACAUAUGUGGCCACAUUAUCAGUAAUGUUUUUCUCUUUAUAUUGGCCAAAAGGGAAUAAAAAUGUCAUCAUAGGAAUUUGUAUAUAUGCUACUGAUUUGCCUAGAAAAUAGCAAGUUUCAUAUUGCUCACUUUGCAAAUAUAGGGCCAUGUGGCACUUUUAUCUAUAGGACAGAUUAACUCUAAUAAAAAUGAAGUGGGGAGGGGUUUAUUUUUGAUAUAUUACUCUUAUGAGUUUUCAAGCUUUGAUAGUGUUUAACUGAAAAGUGGCUUAGAAAGGGCUAGAUCCAGUGUGUUCAUUAUUAAAUAAUUGCUAUCAUACAAUUUUAAGUUCAUUAUUUUUCAAACUCAAGUACCAUAUUGGCAACCAUAAUAUUGUCAUAGGUGCUCUUUUCAUUUAGAUAUUAUUGGGGGGGGUGGCAUUUGUAUAAUAUAUGUGUACAUAUAUAUAUAUAUAUACAUACAGUAUAUAAUCUAAAGCUCUGAGAGCUCUUAAGUCAGGAAUGCUGAGUAUUAUAGUAUAUUGAGGUCAGAUGAAAUUUUACAUUUUUAUGUGUUCUGUUGCAUCCCUUCUGGUAGUUUCUAUGACUGCAUUACUCCAGCACUCAACAACUGAUUUUAUCUUCUAAUUUUCUUUAAAGUAUUUUAUUUUUUAUUAGUUUUCUUUGGCUUGAUACUUUUAAAUAUGUUACUAGUCACUUGAAAGCAUCUCCCCCAAAAGUAUUUGGUUUUUAUGAUUUGUCUGUGGCAGCUAUAACAGUGGUAAGAACAUUUUGAAGAUAGCUUUUUAAAGGAACCACUGAUUUUUUCAAAAAUCAUCCUGGGGGAGGAAUUUUGGCAUUUCAUUUGAGCAGGGAUUUUGUCAGAAAAUGUGUUUUGACGGUAGGUCAGCAGCAGUGCUAGUCUCUGAAAGCACAAUACCAGUCAGGCAGCCUAUUCCAUCAGAUGUCAUCUGGCUGAAGUUUGUCUCUCAGGACAAAUCCCUAUCAUUUUGACCUUUUGGAGUGACAUGUGGAAUCAUACAAAGGCUUAGGAGGAAAUAUGUUUGUUUAAACCAGGAUGCUUUUACUUACUUGAAGUGACUUCAAUCUAGAUUUCUUUUCAUAUUUAAUGUUUUUAAUUCUAUGAUCAGCUAUAGUCAGCUGUUACCAGAAAUUGGUCUCUGUUUAUUUUGAAGAUCACGGUUGCUUCAUUUUGCAGGAUUAAAUAGGGCUAAUAUAUCUUAAAGUUAAGAUCUUGAAUUAAAGUGGGUUUUAGAAUAGUGUUACAUACCUUUUCAGUAAUUUUCAAGAGGCUUUAUUUUUGUUGCCUUUGUAGCCCUGAAAGCUAUUGGUAUAUUUUUUCCCCCAUGGACCUAAUAGAAAAGUUGUAUAUUUAUUUGGAAUAUAUUUACAUUCUGUCCUUUGUAAAUGUUUGGUGUAACUUGCACUUUUUAAAAUGACCCAGUUUGGGUAUUAGCAACUUAAGAAAUUCCCUCAUGAAGUAAUUCUCAACUUUUUAGUCUUUCUCCUCUCUUCAAAUCAUGUGACUUUUUAAAUGGAAGUUUUUCAUUAAUUAAAAUAUUUUAGCACCUAAAAGCUAGCCUUAAAAACAGCUGAAAAGAAGAACAUCAGGAAAUUAGAUAUGACUAGCCCAGUUAAUUAAAAGACGGGCUCAAACCUUGUUUUAUUCUUUUUCAUCUUGGAUAAAGAUUGAAGGGAAAAUAACUCAAGUGAAUAAUAUUUAUUUUCAAUUUUUAAUGAGACUUUAUCCUCAUCACAUUAAUACUGCACAUAGUAUGCCAAAAUGUUCACUAAUUUGUCUAGAAUAGUACAAGACUUUUUAGAGCAAUUGUCUUCACAGAGACCACAUGUAAUCAUUUUACUGAAUUAUUUUCAUUUUUAAUGGCUUUGUUAACAUCAAAGAAAUGCUGCCUAAAUUUGACUGAUUACAGAUGAGGAAGGAGAAAGUAAAGUGUGCAUAGUAAGCCUGCAGGUGAAGAGUUGUGAGAUAAAUUUGUUCACUCAGUUGUACAAAGCACAACUAGAACUUUUCGUUGGGUGGCUUACAUACAUCUUGAAUAUUCUAAUGUAAUAAUGUUGACUAUUAAGUUGACUACACAGUCACUGUAUGUACUAGGAACUGGUUUCCUUGACAUUGUAGAAUCAAUGGCUAGGAGAGGCAUUAAUCUUUGAGGGGCUGAACAUAUCAUGAAGCUGAGUCAGUAUGGAAAAUUUUCAAAUAAACAGGGUGCUGAAGUUCCAUCUGUCUCAUCUGCUUAUGAUAAGUUCUUAUUGAUUAGUGAAUGUAACUUAAGCCUUUGUAUGUGUCCUCAGGGGGCAGACCGACUUUAAGAGGGACCAGAUAACGUUUGAAUGGAGGGAUUAUAUUUCAGGUGUUUUAGCUUGAAAUUUAUUUUUUAGAAAAAGAAAAAUUUUAAAAAUAUAUAAAUAAAAUAGAACAAAGCCGGUGAUGCAAGUUGAUAUUAUAAACAGGCAGUUUUAGCACAGAAAGAAAAUACUGACCUGUCUGCAUUCUGGUACGGUGGGUGCAGGUCCCAGCUGGGUAUGACAUGAUACAUUUUUAAUUAUUCUCACCAGCAAGUAAAAGGAAAAUGAACAAUCUUCUGGAAAUGUCUUUGAAAAUUAUCAAAGAGUAGGAAAUUCACAUUUGACCUAACAUUACUUGCCAAUAGAAGUAUGGCAUUUCCAAGCUUUUGUCUGAGAAGUAUCUCAGAGAUGUGAGAGUAAAUCUGAGAUAGUUUAAAAAUUGGUAGGGAAGGAAGAAAAUCUCUGCAAAUAAUGAUUUUAUGUUUGUUGGCCAAGUGAAAUGAUCUAUCAUUGUGUUUGGGAGGUUUUAUUUUCUUAUGUUUUUAAAAUUAAAUUGGUAAAUGCUUUAUAGAUGUAUUUUUAUCCAAGUGCCACUCCAAUUUGUGUAUGUAAUAAAAUUAUUUAUAUUAAAAGUGGGAAAUAAUUUGUCAACAUUUUUUUGAGUAUAGAUUUAUUAGGGGUGGCAAAGAAGAGUGCUAGUUAGCAGUUUUCCACGUAAAGUUGUCCUUGACUGAUUUGUCCACAUGUCAGUUGUAACUCCCCCACUCCCUACAAAAGGAAUUAUUUCUAACCCAGAUGUAUCACUUGAAACUUUUUAAAAGCAAAAUAAUCAGGGAAGUUCCUAGAAAAGUGUUUGGCUUUUUGGUUUUUCCUUGAGGAUUGGGGUAAAGACUUACCCCAAAACUGUCAGCACAAAACAGGGUAUUGAUUUUUAACUCUGAUGUUUCUGUUGGAGUUGAAUAAUAAAUAAAUAAUGAGGGAAAUACGUUUCUAAUAAAAUUCCCUACAUUCUAGAAACAUCCCUGUUUUAAUUUUUUUACCUAAAUCUUUUUGUGCUUUAUGUGUAAAGAAAAAAAUGUACUGAGUUACAAUGCAUUUUAUUAACACUAUGUACAUAAUAGCUGCUUUGUGUUCAGAAUGGUAGCAGUUGCUUUGUAUAUUAAAGUGAUCCUUGUGAAUUUGUGAAAUAUUGUCAUAAAGUGCUUUUUCUUACUGUAAUCUUUGUGGUAUCAACUGUCAUAAUGCUCUUUUUACACAAACAUUUAUGUGCAGUCACAUAAACAUGCUUUUAAAAACUC